CCCCUUCCUCAGCAGAGGCGACGGAGGACGUACGACAUGACGAAAGUUCGCCGCAGCGCGCGCCUUGCCAAUCGUCCGGCAAUGCCGGCCCUAAAGCGGGCCCAAAUCAUCCUCUGCCAACGGCUUGGGCUCACUGCAGAGGAGACUAAUCACAACUCGGUAGAGCAGGCUCUGAAGAAGUACGUCGCCAUGUUCAACACUGCUCUGCCCGAACCUGUCACCGCCGCUCUUACCAGCUUGCUGGGAAUCGACGACGAGCAUACGGAACAACUUGAUGAGGCAUUGAUCGGCUUGGUGGGGCAGGGGAUCGACGGCAUCAAUCCAAUGGAAGGCGUCCCAGCCGCAGGGGGGG
RNAcentral lists this unclassified non-coding RNA (352 nucleotides) under Zea mays. Its description in RNAcentral is "misc RNA Zm00001eb322960". The record is from RNAcentral. Lineage: Eukaryota; Viridiplantae; Streptophyta; Magnoliopsida; Poales; Poaceae.